UACGAGGGGGGCAAGCGUUGUUCGGAUUCACUGGGCGUAAAGGGUGCGUAGGUGGCGAGGUAAGUUUGAUGUGAAAUCUCCGGGCUUAACCCGGAAAUGGCAUUGAAUACUCUCUCGCUAGAGGGUUGGAGGGGGGACUGGAAUUCUCGGUGUAGCAGUGAAAUGCGUAGAUAUCGAGAGGAGCACCAGUGGCGAAGGCGAGUCCCUGGACAACUCCUGACACUGAGGCACGAAAGCUAGGGGAGCAAACAGG
This 253-nucleotide ribosomal RNA is filed under the name uncultured bacterium. RNAcentral describes it as "partial 16S ribosomal RNA". It matches the Rfam family "Bacterial small subunit ribosomal RNA", at positions 524 to 776 of the family's 1533-position model. The record is from RNAcentral.